UUUUUUUUUUUUUGGCUCCUCCUUAUAUUUUCUAGUUCCUUUCUAAAGGAAUUACUGUUCAUAUUCUUAAUUCCUUCAGCAUUUUCUCUGUCUCCCUUUUAAACUCAAUGUCUGUCAGACUGCAGAGAUCUGUUUCAUUGUUGACUGCUUUAGGUGAAUUCUCCUGUUCCUUUAACUGAGAAUGUUUUCUGAGCUUCUUCAUCUUGAUUGUGUUUUUCUUUUUCUGUGAGUUUGGGGAAGCCAAACUGUAGUCUUGUAAGGCUACUUCUAUGCAAGAAUACCCUUUUGUAUUUUUUUUGGGGGGGGGUUACUAUUUAUUUUUGGUGUGGGAGUUUGAAUAUUUGCUGUCUCUUUGUUUGGUGUAAGCAGGCUGUUAUUCCCAGGAUGCUCAGUGUGUUUUCAGGGAGAGGGAGGCAAUGGGUAGGGCCAGCAGUCAGUGCCUGGUCAUUGGGCUCUCAACAGCAGCAAGGAUUUCCAGGAAGGUGGCACAGGUUACUCCUAGUUGUUGAGGCCUCCGGAGCCUGAGUCUCAGCACCCAGCCCCCACCAAACAUCUCAGGCUGUGGUGUCCGGGCCGAUGGUUCAGAUGAUCUGUGCAGCUCCCACUCUGCUUUGCUGUUCUCAGUCCAGCUGCUGUGCUUUUCUCGGCAACUUUGAGGUCCUGCCGACUCGGCUGAUCUUUCUGUCAAUUAGGGGGCUUCCCAGGAUGUGGGUUCCUUUUCCUUCAUAGCUCCCUCUCGAGAAUGCUAGUCCCGUCCUGAUUCCUUUUCUCUUUUUUUCUUUUGUUCUACCCAGUUAUGUCGAGAGUUUCUUGCCCUUUUUGAAGGUUUAAGUUCUUCUGCCAGCAUUCAGUGGAUGUUCUGUGCGAGUCGUUUUGCAUGUAGAUGUAUUUUUUUGAUGUGCUUGUAGGAGAAGGUGAGUGCAACCUCUUACUCCUCUACCAUCGUGCUCUGCCUCCAGUUCUGGUCAGCCCAGACUUUUAAUACUGAACCCACAAGGGUCAACCUGGGUGUCUUCACUUCCCAAUCUCAACCCUGUCUGGGAACUUCAGUAUAGAAAAAUCCAGACACAUUCUGCCCAAAGUGCCCUUUGAGUGGGUGGCACAUUGUUCUGCCCUGGUGUGAGACACCACGGACCUAUCAGACAGCCAGCAAGAGGGGGAUUUGCCCAAGACCCACAGGCCUCCGAGGCCAGAGACACCCCAGUGCUCAGUUUACAGGUGGCCUCUCAAAUGCUGGGGGACAUGCAGCCAAGGCCUUCAGUGAUGCCCCCUGGCCUCACUGAGACUUCUUAACCCUUGAAAAUAACUUUCAUAAAAUCACCAUUUUUUUUAAAGUCUGUAUUUAAAAAAUAAAACAACUUGCCCUGCCUGUAUUUGGCAGUGCCAACUUUCCUGGACUGUGUGUGUGUGUGUGUGUGUGUUGCCUAUUUCUUUCCCUUUCAUAUCGCUAAUACAAGAGAACAUAAAUAAAUGAGCCUAUAGGAAGCAAAUUCACUCUAUGGAGCCAUUAACAAGUGAUUUUCUUGGGUUAUGUUGACUCAUUUUUAUUAUUAUUUUUUUAAUUUUAUUUUAUUUUGCUUUUUAGGGCCAUACCCGUGGCAUAUGGAGGUUCCCAGGCUAGGGGUAGAAUCAGAGCUACAGCUGUCGGCCUACACCACAGCCGCAGCAACUGGGAAUCUGAGCCAUGUCUGUGGCCUACACCACAGCUCACAGCAACGCCAGAUCCUUAACCAACUGAACAAGGCCUGGGGUCGAACCCACAACCUCAUGGUUCCUGGUCAGAAUCGUUUCUGCUAUGCCAUGAUGGGAACCCCUGUUGGCUCAUUUUUAGAUCCUUUCUCCCCAUCUGCUCCAGUCCCUGGGUGCUAUGACUGAGCUAGGCCAUCCCCUGAAUUUAGGGAGAACUGUAUUCCCCAAAGGGCAAAACUGCCCCAGGAGCUGAUGGCCCCAGUGAGGAUGCACAGUACCCAUGACAGGAAGCAAGAGCUGGAGGCCAGUGGGUAGGGCACCUGAAUGAGUGUCGGGUAUGGGUGGAUGGCCACAUGGGUGAUCAGGAGAGUGGAGAGGAAGUCCCAAGGGAGCCUAACAUGGGGUGAGGGAGGGCCCACCUUGGGGUUCAGAUCAGCCUGCAAAGGAAUGUGCCUCUGGGGUGGAGGAAAGGCAGGCUGGGGUGCAGAAAGAGCUGGAGGCUGGGGGAGAGGGGAUACAAAUUAGCUUGUGUGUUCUUUGGCUCCGUGGUAUGUAUUUAGUAGGUGCAAAGAUGAGGGAAAGGAGGGAUGCAGGGAAGACAAGAGAAGGAAAGGACGAGGUUAAGACAAAGGCCAUUUGAAGGGAUGAGAAAAACAUUUAUUGGAAACUGCCUAAGAGCCCCUCGGGGAUGGCCUGGGACCCUCCAGGGAGAGUUGGCCUCGCCAUCUUCAGCUGCUGGUCGCUAACUGGUAGGGUCUGGAAUCACUUCUUGUGACAUGUCUCUCUGACAACCUCAGGACCUCGCAGAUGUGAGAGCCUAUUUCUGAACAAGGCUCUGUCUGAGCACUGGGAUGUGUCAAUUAGUCCAUCUUGAGGGUUUCAUAAAACCACAGAGUUCCUUCCUGUCGUGGCUCAGUGGAAACGAGUCUGAGUAGCAUCCAUGAGGAUGCAGGUUCUAUCCCUGGCCUCACUCAGUGGGUUAAGGAUCCGGUGUUGCCAUGAGCUGUUGUGCAGGUCACAGAUCAAUGCUGGAUCCUCAACCCUCUGAGCAAGGCCUAGGAUCGAACGCACAUCCUCAUGGAUACUAGUCGGAUUUAUUUUUGUUGUGCCACACGGGAGCUCCCCAUUUUGUGGAAGUUCUUGAAGGCUCAACUUUCCUCCCCUAGAACUAGGGCAAGUUGAGAGUUUUAAAGAGGCUUAAAGUUGGGAGGCUUAAAUCAUUAUUCCCAUUUUGCCCAGGUGACCAUCAUUCCAAGUUUUAUAAGUGGCUGGAGUCUGAUGGUGGAAGUACUGAGAAAACCUAUGGGGCAGGUGGACCAGCCUGGCUGCCCAGAAGCCCUGCCUGAGCCCCACUGCGGACUUCAUCCCCAGUCCCAGCAAGCAGUGACCCAGUCCCUGGCCAGGCCCAGGCUUAGAAGGUCCUCCCCAAGGUCAGAAGGACAAGCCCAGAAGAUGGGAAAGAAAAGGCAACCAUUCCUCACACACUAAGAUUCUCUGACUGCAGCCAGGCUACCAAGUUGUAGACGCACUUAGAGUGUGUGCACUGGGAGUUGCUGAGACCACGGUGGCAGUUUUGGAGUGUUUGGCUCCUGGACACCUCUGAGCGCAGGAGCCCCAGGUGCACAGACACUUUGCUGGCGUGUCUCACUUUCCCCUGGAUGGAAAUCCAGACCACAAUAUUGCUCUGAAACCCAGGGAGCCUUUUGAAGUCAUUGUGUUCCGACUUCAGACCACGUACACACAAAACCGCUGGCCUUCAUUAGGGGGAGAAAAAGCUGUUGGAUGGUUUGGCUACUAACUGCUUUUUUGGCAUUUUCGCAAUGGCUUUCAAUAACAAGGCACCCAUGGAAAGGCAGGGGUGGUGGAGGGGCGAUACAGCAGCAACAAAAGGGAGGGAUCUGGAAAAAUGGGAAACUUCCAUCUGCGAUAAGAAACCCUUAUGGCUCUUAUUAGGCUUUCUGCUCAGGCAGGGAGGUCCCCUGGCUUUAAUAAAAUCUCAUUUUCCCCUUAAACUCUCCCAUGUGGUAGGCGCCCAGAGUUUAAUGGGGACAGAAGAGAUGAUUCCAACCUGCGGCUCAGGUGGCCGGGGGGCCCCCCCACCUCCAGGCCCGCAGCCGGGAUUGAUUGCAGAGCGGCGGGGCCAGCGACACGCAAGCUGCAGCGCAUCAGAGAAUAAUCACCCGCCGUUUGAUGCUGACCCGGGCCAAACGAAGAUGGCAGCCUGGCUCCCGUGCGUCCCCGCUCCGAGGAGGGAGCAGCUCAUCCCCGUCUCUAUUAAGAGUGGACCCAAGGAGUAGGUCGACCAGCUCCAACAUGUGAUUUAUUAGGGGGCAUCUGCAUUUGAAAGGCUCUGUGGCUUUCAUCUCUGCC
Molecule: long non-coding RNA, 4059 nt
Filed under: Sus scrofa (pig)
Lineage: Eukaryota; Metazoa; Chordata; Mammalia; Artiodactyla; Suidae
Description: lncRNA (ENSSSCG00060027104.1)
Source: RNAcentral